Molecule: unclassified non-coding RNA, 238 nt
Filed under: fungal sp.
Lineage: Eukaryota; Fungi
Description: partial internal transcribed spacer region
Rfam family: Eukaryotic small subunit ribosomal RNA (bases 1-46)
Source: RNAcentral
AAGUCGUAACAAGGUUUCCGUAGGUGAACCUGCGGAAGGAUCAUUACAAAUCCACAAGUCACACACCCUAACCGGUCGUCGACAACGUUGAACUCUCCGCCUCGGUGCGGCGUGCGCAAGCCGCCGUGCCUCGAGGACACACCUAUUUGACCCCCCGUGCUGACAUGACAUACCACGAAUGUACCAACACAACGACACAACCUAGAAACAACUUAUAACAAUGGAUCUCUAGGCUCUU